RNAcentral lists this ribosomal RNA (293 nucleotides) under uncultured bacterium. Its description in RNAcentral is "partial 16S ribosomal RNA". It matches the Rfam family "Bacterial small subunit ribosomal RNA", at positions 355 to 665 of the family's 1533-position model. The record is from RNAcentral.
UGGGGAAUAUUGGACAAUGGGGGCAACCCUGAUCCAGCAAUGCCGCGUGUGUGAAGAAGGUCUUCGGAUUGUAAAGCACUUUCGACGGGGACGAUGAUGACGGUACCCGUAGAAGAAGCCCCGGCUAACUUCGUGCCAGCGGCCGCGGUAAUACGAAGGGGGCUAGCGUUGCUCGGAAUGACUGGGCGUAAAGGGCGUGUAGGCGGUUUACACAGUCAGAUGUGAAAUCCCCGGGCUUAACCUGGGAGCUGCAUUUGAUACGUGUAGACUAGAGUGUGAGAGAGGGUUUGUGG